Molecule: ribosomal RNA, 206 nt
Filed under: uncultured bacterium
Lineage: Bacteria
Description: partial 16S ribosomal RNA
Rfam family: Bacterial small subunit ribosomal RNA
Source: RNAcentral
CGUCUAGGUGGUGAUGCAAGUCAGGGGUGAAAGGUUAGAGCUUAACUCUAACAUUGCCUUUGAAACUGUAUUGCUAGAGUACGGGAGAGGAAAGUGGAACUACCAGUGUAGUGGUGAAAUGCGUAGAUAUUGGUAGGAAUGUCAAUGACGAAGGUAGCUUUCUGGACCGAUACUGACACUAAAGCGCGAAAGCUAGGGAGCAAACA